Molecule: ribosomal RNA, 551 nt
Filed under: uncultured marine picoplankton
Lineage: Eukaryota
Description: SSU rRNA
Rfam family: Eukaryotic small subunit ribosomal RNA
Source: RNAcentral
GUAUAUUAAAGUUGUUGCAGUUAAAAAGCUCGUAGUCGGAUUUUGGCAUCACGCCGCACUGUCUGCCGAUUGGUAAGUACGGUUUGGCGGGUGCUUCCUUCCGGUGCUGCGUUCUGCUCUUAGUUGAGCGGUUCGUUGGUUCCGGUUCUUUUACUUUGAGAAAAUUAGAGUGUUCAAAGCAGGCCUAUGCUCUGAAUAGGUUAGCAUGGAAUAAUAGAAUAGGACUUUGGUUCUAUUUUGUUGGUUUCUAGGACCGAAGUAAUGAUAAAUAGGGACAGUUGGGGGCAUUCAUAUUCCAUUGUCAGAGGUGAAAUUCUUGGAUUAACGGAAGAUGAACUUCUGCGAAAGCAUCUGCCAAGGAUGUUUUCAUUGAUCAAGAACGAAAGUUAGGGGAUCGAAGACGAUCAGAUACCGUCGUAGUCUUAACCAUAAACUAUGCCGACUAGGGAUGUGGAGGCGUUAACUUUGUACGACCCUCCAUGCACCUUAUGAGAAAUCAAAGUCUAUGGGUUCCGGGGGGAGUAUGGUCGCAAGGCUGAAACUUAAAGGAA